RNAcentral lists this ribosomal RNA (443 nucleotides) under uncultured bacterium. Its description in RNAcentral is "partial 16S ribosomal RNA". It matches the Rfam family "Bacterial small subunit ribosomal RNA", at positions 338 to 795 of the family's 1533-position model. The record is from RNAcentral.
CCUACGGGAGGCUGCAGUGGGGAAUAUUGGGCAAUGGAGGCAACUCUGAUGCAGCAACGCCGCGUGAAUGAUGAAGGUCUUCGGAUUGUAAAGUUCUUUUCUAAGGGAAGAGGAAAGAGACGGUAUCUUAGGAAUAAGCCGCGGCUAACUACGUGAGAGCAGCCGCGGUAAUCCGUAGGAGGCAAGCGUUAUCCGGAAUGACUGGGCGGAAAGGGUGCGGAGGGGGUUGAGCAAGUUAGUAGCGAAACCCCGGGGCUCAACCUCGGCACUACUACUAAAACUGUUGGACUUGAGUGCAGGAGGGGCAAGUGGAAUUCCUAGUGUAGCGGUGAAAUGCGUAGAUAUUAGGAGGAACACCAGUGGCGAAGGCGAGUUGCUGGACUGUAACUGACACUGAGGCACGAAAGCGUGGGGAGCAAACAGGAUUAGAUACCCCUGUAGUC